GACCCUUGGUUCCUGUGUUGCCUUCCCGUCGAAUGGAAAAUCUCGUGAGAUAGCCCCGCCCCUUUCCCCCUUGUGGCUUUGCGGCCGCAAAGUGGACCUCGAAAGCAGUGCCUGUGUCCCGGGCGUAUCCUCGGACUGUUGUCGUGGUUGUCUCGGUCCACAGGACGACUGCUCGUGCUCUCGGAUGUGGAAAAUUAAGCGGACAUGGGGGGUCUCGGCCCCUGGUUGCUCCCAAUCAAGUCCCUCGAUAGGAAUGACUUUCGAGAUACCUCAUUGAUCGCAGGCCGUCUAGGCCUGUGGCAUCGAUGCGGGUCCGAAGUCGAGAAAGUGAUGCUACCUGGUUGAUCCUGCCAGUAGUCAUAUGCUUGUCUCAAA
Molecule: unclassified non-coding RNA, 375 nt
Filed under: Ficus luschnathiana
Lineage: Eukaryota; Viridiplantae; Streptophyta; Magnoliopsida; Rosales; Moraceae
Description: partial contains external transcribed spacer and 18S ribosomal RNA
Source: RNAcentral